UACGUAGGGGGGCAAGCGUUGUCCGGAUUUAUUGGGUCGUAAAGGGCGCGUAGGCGGUUUCUUAAGUUUGGAGUGACAGUGGGUGGCUUAACUACCCAAGGCCUCUGAAAACUGGGGAACUUGAGGACCAGAGAGGGACAUAGAAUUCCGGGUGGAGUGGUGAAAUGCGUAGAUAUCCGGAGGAAUACCAAAGGCGAAGGCAGUGUCCUGGAGGGUGACUGACGCUGAGGCGCGAAAGCUAGGGGAGCGAACAGG
This 255-nucleotide ribosomal RNA is filed under the name uncultured bacterium. RNAcentral describes it as "partial 16S ribosomal RNA". It matches the Rfam family "Bacterial small subunit ribosomal RNA", at positions 524 to 776 of the family's 1533-position model. The record is from RNAcentral.